This 810-nucleotide long non-coding RNA is filed under the name Mus musculus (house mouse). Its description in RNAcentral is "predicted gene, 30853". Lineage: Eukaryota; Metazoa; Chordata; Mammalia; Rodentia; Muridae. The record is from RNAcentral.
AAAUCACAGCCAAUCUACUUCCUGUAAAUUCCUGUAUAUCUCUGCACAUGGGCUGAUGAAGAAGAAAAGCUCAAAGAAGAAGCAUACAGCUGGCUCACUUCAUGGACGUCCUGAGCUCCACCUAAUGUUUGGCUGCGGGGCUUAGUAUCUGCUCCCAUCAGUUGCUAGAUGAAUUCCCUCUGGUUGUCUUGAUAAUGAUUCUGCUGGACCAUGGUUCCAGAACACUCUGAAGAUUGGAAAAACUAUAGAUCAAAGUUAAUUACAGAUGGAAUCAACUUGGCAACCAAAAAUACCCAUCACAGAUAAUACCCCUGACAUUUAUCCUGGAAAUCCACAUGAACAUGUCCUCACCCAACCUGCAACAUGGGUUCGAAGUCUUAUGAUUUUUCAAACAUCUGAAAUGACAAGACCACAGUCAGAAGUAUAAUACCUAACAUCCUAAGGACUAGAGAGAACCAAGAGAGAUGGAACUGGGAUCAGUUAAAGUGCUUCCCUGAUGGAUAACUGUCCACUGUUCUUCUAAGAAGGGGGAUGCUGAACAUCUCUGAAUAUAAACAUGGAAACCUUCCAUAACAUCUGCUGCUAAUUUCUGCCAGCUGAAAAGUGAUAAUGAUGAUGAAUACUUUUGUUGAUGAUGUGGAUACAUUGGUCUAACUAAAUUAACUUGCAGACUCAGGGCAUAUAAUUGAAAACACAUGAUUUGUGGUAUCACCUGGUUGGCUUUAUGGGUAGUUACAUAUUUAAUUGUUCCAAUACGUUUAACUUUAAAAAGCUAAAAGGGUAAAAUAAACCAGAAUAUUGGUAUAAUGU